RNAcentral lists this ribosomal RNA (455 nucleotides) under uncultured bacterium. Its description in RNAcentral is "bacterial SSU rRNA". It matches the Rfam family "Bacterial small subunit ribosomal RNA", at positions 28 to 491 of the family's 1533-position model. The record is from RNAcentral.
GAUGAACGCUGGCGGCGUGCUUAACACAUGCAAGUCGAACGGGAUCCCAGGAGCUUGCUCCUGGGUGAGAGUGGCGAACGGGUGAGUAAUGCGUGACCGACCUGCCCCAUACACCGGAAUAGCUCCUGGAAACGGGUGGUAAUGCCGGAUGCUCCAGUUGACCGCAUGGUCCUCUGGGAAAGCUUUUGCGGUAUGGGAUGGGGUCGCGUCCUAUCAGCUUGAUGGCGGGGUAACGGCCCACCAUGGCUUCGACGGGUAGCCGGCCUGAGAGGGCGACCGGCCACAUUGGGACUGAGAUACGGCCCAGACUCCUACGGGAGGCAGCAGUGGGGAAUAUUGCACAAUGGGCGCAAGCCUGAUGCAGCGACGCCGCGUGCGGGAUGACGGCCUUCGGGUUGUAAACCGCUUUUGACUGGGAGCAAGCCCUUCGGGGUGAGUGUACCUUUCGAAUAAGC